UUUUUUAAACAAAAUACCCCAAUGAUGAUUAUGGCCAAGUUUGGAUUAAUUUGGCCCAGUAGUUUCAUCAGAGAAGAUUUUUCUAAAAGAUUACUGAGAUUUACGAAAAAUGGUUAAAAAUUUACUAUAAAGGGCAAUAACUCCUAAAGAGGUCAACUGACCAUUUUGGUCAUGUUGACUUAUUUGUAGAUCUUACUUUGCUGAACAUUAUUGUUGUUUACAGUUUAUCUCUAUCUAUAAUAAUAUUCAAGAUAAUAACCAAAAACAGCAAAAUUUCCUUAAAAUUACCAUUUCAGGGGCAGCAACCCAACAACGGAAUGUCCGAUUCAUCUGAAAAUUUCAGGGCAGAUAGAUCUUGACCUGAUGAACAAUUUUACCCAUGUCAGAUUUGCUCUAAAUGCUUUGGUUUUUGAGUUAUAAGCCAAAAACUGCAUUUUACCCCUAUGUUCUAUUUUUAGCCAUGGCGGCCAUCUUGGUUGGUUGGGCGGGGCACCGGACACAUUUUUUAAACUAGAUACCCCAAUGAUGAUUAUGGCCAAGUUUGGUUAAAUUUGACCCAGUAGUUUCAGAGGAGAAGAUUUUUUGAUAAUUCACCUAAAAAGGUGAACGAAGCAUGUUGGGUCGGGUCGUAGAACAAUAUAAAGUGUACAAUUACAAAGUAUUAUUUUACUGUUGCUAGCAUUUAUUGAAACAAAAAAGAGCGGAAUUUUUCUACAAAUAGAAUACGGUACAAAAAGUGUUCAAACAUAACAAAACUGCCCGUUGAUAUUUCUUAACAGUCUAACUUAUUAGUUCUCCCUACAAAAC
Molecule: long non-coding RNA, 807 nt
Filed under: Mytilus galloprovincialis (Mediterranean mussel)
Lineage: Eukaryota; Metazoa; Mollusca; Bivalvia; Mytilida; Mytilidae
Source: RNAcentral